Molecule: long non-coding RNA, 379 nt
Filed under: Equus caballus (horse)
Lineage: Eukaryota; Metazoa; Chordata; Mammalia; Perissodactyla; Equidae
Description: lncRNA (ENSECAG00000050838.1)
Source: RNAcentral
GAGUGAAGUAUAAUGAUCACACUGGGAGGCCUUAACAUUAGCAUGGUUCAGUACUUUUUAAAAUCGGGGCCUAUCUUGAGUAGAGAAGGAGGCUUUUCGCACUUUCUCGGCCGCAGCUGCCAGGUCAGGAGCUGUCAGCUGCAAGGGCUCCCUGACUUAGACCUAACGCUUGCCUGCCCCAGCCCUCCAGAUCCAGCCACUGCCACCCCGCCACGCACCACAGGGAAAGGAAACCCUGCUCCAGCAAUGGCACAUUCUUUCAGACACAUUAAGAGCACCCCACCAGAACUUCUCACCUAGAAAUCAGUUGCUGCAACUCCUGUAAAAGGUCAAGACCAUUCUAAGAGUUUUACUCAGGCAGCCUUAUUGUCAGUGGGUG